RNAcentral lists this ribosomal RNA (617 nucleotides) under uncultured bacterium. Its description in RNAcentral is "bacterial SSU rRNA". The stretch from base 1 to 526 matches the Rfam family "Bacterial small subunit ribosomal RNA", at positions 338 to 873 of the family's 1533-position model. The record is from RNAcentral.
CCUACGGGAGGCAGCAGUGGGGAAUAUUGGACAAUGGGCGCAAGCCUGAUCCAGCCAUGCCGCGUGAGUGAUGAAGGCCUUCGGGUUGUAAAGCUCUUUUGGCGGGGACGAUAGUGACGGUACCCGCAGAAUAAGCCCCGGCUAACUUCGUGCCAGCAGCCGCGGUAAUACGAAGGGGGCUAGCGUUGUUCGGAAUCACUGGGCGUAAAGCGCACGUAGGCGGAUCUAUAAGUCAGGGGUGAAAUCCCGGGGCUCAACCUCGGAACUGCCUUUGAUACUGUGGGUCUUGAGUUCGAUAGAGGUGAGUGGAAUUCCUAGUGUAGAGAUGAAAUUCGUAGAUAUUAGGAAGAACACCGGUGGCGAAGGCGGCUCACUGGAUCGAUACUGACGCUGAGGUGCGAAAGCGUGGGGAGCAAACAGGAUUAGAUACCCCUGGUAGUCCACGACCGUAACUAUGAUGCUAGCGUCAGAUAGUCUUGUCUAUUUGGUUGGUCGGCGAGCGUACGACAUUAAGUACACUCCCGCCGUCGGGGAGGUACGGCCGGCCGAACGGUUAAAACGUAACGAAGGAAGUAGACGGCGNGAGACGUGCCGACGGCGACCACGAGGGAGGUAGG